AACUUUCGGCAACGGAUCACUUGGCUCUCGCAUCGUUGAAGAACGCAGCGAAAUGCGAUAAGUAAUGUGAAUUGCAGAAUUCAGUGAAUCAUCGAAUCUUUGAACGCACCUUGCACCCUUUGGCAUUCCGAAGGGUAUGCUCGUUUGAGUGUCAUUGUACUCUCACACUCCCGAUGCUUUUGGAUUGGGAGUGGUGGACUUGGGUGUUGCUGCUUUACUGUGGCUCACCUCAAAUGGAGUAGUGCAACUCUUGGUUGGACAUAGUACGGCGUGAUAAGUGUCUUCGCCGGCGCCUCAUUAGAGGGUGGCCGAUCGGGAGCUCUGUGCUUCAAACCGUCUUCGGACAACAUCUGACAACUUGACCUCAAAUCGAGUAGGACUACCCGCUGAACUUAAGCAUAUCAAUAAGCGGAGGC
Molecule: unclassified non-coding RNA, 416 nt
Filed under: uncultured Sebacina
Lineage: Eukaryota; Fungi; Basidiomycota; Agaricomycetes; Sebacinales; Sebacinaceae
Description: sequence contains ITS2
Rfam family: 5.8S ribosomal RNA (bases 1-154)
Source: RNAcentral